GACGAACGCUGGCGGCGUGCUUAACACAUGCAAGUCGAACGGAAAGGCCCCUUUGGGGGUACUCGAGUGGCGAACGGGUGAGUAACACGUGAGUAACCUGCCCUUGACUUCGGGAUAACUUCAGGAAACUGGGGCUAAUACCGGAUAGGAAUCCUUGCUGCAUGGUGGGGGUUGGAAAGCUUCGGCGGUUUUGGAUGGACUCGCGGCUUAUCAGCUUGUUGGUGGGGUAGUGGCUUACCAAGGCUUUGACGGGUAGCCGGCCUGAGAGGGCGACCGGCCACACUGGGACUGAGAGAAGGCACAGACUCCUACGGGAGGAAGAAGGGGGGAAUAUUGAACAAUGGGCGGCAGCCGGAUGCAGAAACGCCGCGGGCGGGAUGACGGCCUUCGGGUUGUAAACCGCUUUCAGCAGGGGCGAAGCUUGUGGUGACGGUACCUGCAGAAGAAGCACCGGCUAACUACGUG
RNAcentral lists this ribosomal RNA (465 nucleotides) under uncultured bacterium. RNAcentral describes it as "partial 16S ribosomal RNA". It matches the Rfam family "Bacterial small subunit ribosomal RNA", at positions 28 to 507 of the family's 1533-position model. The record is from RNAcentral.